RNAcentral lists this unclassified non-coding RNA (355 nucleotides) under uncultured fungus. RNAcentral describes it as "partial contains 5.8S ribosomal RNA, internal transcribed spacer 2, and large subunit ribosomal RNA". Lineage: Eukaryota; Fungi. The record is from RNAcentral.
AACGCACAUUGCGCUUCCUGGUAUUCUGGGGAGCAUGCUCGUUUCAGAAUCAUUAAACCCUUACUACUUACCUUGUUGCAAAACGAUGUGAGAGAUGUAAAUUUGUCUUUUAUUUGCCGACUUUUGCUUAGCACUGGUCAGGCAAUAAGUUUAAAAUGAUUGUAUGCGUCUUGGAUUUGUCUAUCAAAUUGACCUGUAGUGCAACAACUUCUGGAACCAUUAUAGAGUCCAUUUGUUAGAAUACAAGUAGUAUAUUUCCCAUAUAUUCUAGGUACAGGUUACAAGGACUUACUUGCCUUGUACUGUGCCCUGAUAACUUGGUCUGAAAUCGAGCAAGAAAACCCGCUGAACUUAA